This 408-nucleotide ribosomal RNA is filed under the name uncultured Pseudonocardia sp. RNAcentral's name for it is "bacterial SSU rRNA". It matches the Rfam family "Bacterial small subunit ribosomal RNA", at positions 353 to 772 of the family's 1533-position model. The record is from RNAcentral. Lineage: Bacteria; Bacillati; Actinomycetota; Actinomycetes; Pseudonocardiales; Pseudonocardiaceae.
AGUGGGGAAUAUUGCGCAAUGGGCGGAAGCCUGACGCAGCGACGCCGCGUGGGGGAUGACGGCCUUCGGGUUGUAAACCUCUUUCGCCAGGGACGAAGCUUUGGUGACGGUACCUGGAGAAGAAGCACCGGCCAACUACGUGCCAGCAGCCGCGGUAACACGUAGGGUGCGAGCGUUGUCCGGAAUUAUUGGGCGUAAAGAGCUCGUAGGCGGUGUGUCGCGUCGGCCGUGAAAACUUGGGGCUUAACUCUGAGCGUGCGGUCGAUACGGGCAUCACUUGAGUUCGGCAGGGGAGACUGGAAUUCCUGGUGUAGCGGUGAAAUGCGCAGAUAUCAGGAGGAACACCGGUGGCGAAGGCGGGUCUCUGGGCCGAUACUGACGCUGAGGAGCGAAAGCGUGGGGAGCGAA